Molecule: small RNA, 29 nt
Filed under: Bombyx mori (domestic silkworm)
Lineage: Eukaryota; Metazoa; Arthropoda; Insecta; Lepidoptera; Bombycidae
Description: ovarian small RNA-1299
Source: RNAcentral
CGAUCGCACCACCCCUGCGUAGAGGCGGC